Non-coding RNA from Termitomyces sp. T32_za158, 84 nucleotides. NCBI's taxonomy places the organism in Eukaryota, Fungi, Basidiomycota, Agaricomycetes, Agaricales, Lyophyllaceae. The record is from the annotation of a GenBank genome assembly.
UCGGGUAUGGUGUAACGGCUAACAUUGCCGCCUUUCAAGUGGUUCUUCACGUGGCAGCUCGGGGUUCGAUUCCCCGUACCCGAA